GACGAACGCUGGCGGCGUGCUUAACACAUGCCAGUCGAACGGAAAGGCCCUGCUUUUGUGGGGUGCUCGAGUGGCGAACGGGUGAGUAACACGUGAGUAACCUGCCCUUGACUUUGGGAUAACUUCAGGAAACUGGGGCUAAUACCGGAUAGGAGUUCCUGCUGCAUGGUGGGGGUUGGAAAGUUUCGGCGGUUGGGGAUGGACUCGCGGUUUAUCAGCUUGUUGGUGGGGUAGUGGCUUACCAAGGCUUUGACGGGUAGCCGGCCUGAGAGGGUGACCGGCCACAUUGGGACUGAGAUACGGCCCAGACUCCUACGGGAGGCAGCAGUGGGGAAUAUUGCACAAUGGGCGGAAGCCUGAUGCAGCAACGCCGCGUGCGGGAUGACGGCCUUCGGGUUGUAAACCGCUUUCGCCUGUGACGAAGCGUGAGUGACGGUAAUGGGUAAAGAAGCACCGGCUAACUACGUG
RNAcentral lists this ribosomal RNA (468 nucleotides) under uncultured bacterium. Its description in RNAcentral is "partial 16S ribosomal RNA". It matches the Rfam family "Bacterial small subunit ribosomal RNA", at positions 28 to 507 of the family's 1533-position model. The record is from RNAcentral.